Arachis ipaensis is the source of this 280-nucleotide non-coding RNA. NCBI's taxonomy places the organism in Eukaryota, Viridiplantae, Streptophyta, Magnoliopsida, Fabales, Fabaceae. The record is from RefSeq and is a predicted model, not a curated record.
ACUAGGUUCAUGAAUGUGCAUUCUUUGGCCUAGAAAAUUAUUUUACAAUUAGUUAGAUCUCUCGGCUUCCAACAACUAAACUGCUUCAUUUUCUAUAACUAGGUCUCUGAUGUACGGCCACUGCUCGACUUAAUGGCCAUAACCUUAGAAAAUUUGCUGUCUGGUGUUCUUGCUAGAGCAAGCAUUGGAUCACUUAUAAUCCUUGCUUGAGUGGUCACCGUAGCAUUGCCAUCUUUGCAUUCACAGCAGGCAUUUCAAGAAGUGCUUCUUAGGCAACUCA